Molecule: transfer RNA, 71 nt
Filed under: Henricia pachyderma
Lineage: Eukaryota; Metazoa; Echinodermata; Asteroidea; Spinulosida; Echinasteridae
Description: tRNA-Ile
Rfam family: tRNA
About the family: Transfer RNA (tRNA) molecules are approximately 80 nucleotides in length. Their secondary structure includes four short double-helical elements and three loops (D, anti-codon, and T loops). Further hydrogen bonds mediate the characteristic L-shaped molecular structure. tRNAs have two regions of fundamental functional importance: the anti-codon, which is responsible for specific mRNA codon recognition, and the 3' end, to which the tRNAs corresponding amino acid is attached (by aminoacyl-tRNA synthetases). tRNAs cope with the degeneracy of the genetic code in two manners: having more than one tRNA (with a specific anti-codon) for a particular amino acid; and 'wobble' base-pairing, i.e. permitting non-standard base-pairing at the 3rd anti-codon position.
Source: RNAcentral
GAACUUGUCCCUGAUGAAAGGAAUCCUAGCUGAUAAUUAGGUUGUAGGGGGUUAGAGUCCUCCCAAGUUUU